GAAGAUCCUUGCCUACUGGAGGCCUUCUGAUGAUAAGCAGCUUUUUUUCCCUUUGUUUCUGCAUCUGUGGCUGCUGCAUUUGGGCUUGUUCUCAUUUGCUGUGGCCGAAGACUUUGCCACCCUGCUAUUAUUUCUGUACUAACUGUCACAUUAUAGCAUUACAAAUACCUAAUAUAAGCUGGUUGUUUAAAUUGUCAAUGGGUAAUUAUGUGAAUGUUGCCAAAUCCUAAAAGCAAUACGAAUUGCCCAAGGGGCCCUUUACUACUUCUCUUAUAGACUGAACCACAUAGCAGUGAAACUGAUUUUGCUUCAGCAACUGGAUUUUCAGCUUGAGCUGUGGUAGCAUUUGGAGCAGAGUCUGUGCAGAAUAUCAGGUCAAAUCUUAGGAGGACAACAAAAAUAUGAACAGUG
This is a long non-coding RNA of Gallus gallus (chicken), 411 nucleotides long. The record is from Ensembl. NCBI's taxonomy places the organism in Eukaryota, Metazoa, Chordata, Aves, Galliformes, Phasianidae.